GACGUAGGGCGCGAGCGUUGUCCGGAUUUAUUGGGCGUAAAGAGCUCGUAGGCGGCUUGUCGCGUCGACUGUGAAAACCCGCGGCUCAACCGUGUGGUCUGCAGUCGAUACGGGCAGGCUAGAGUUCGGUAGGGGAGACUGGAAUUCCUGGUGUAGCGGUGAAAUGCGCAGAUAUCAGGAGGAACACCGGUGGCGAAGGCGGGUCUCUGGACAGUUCCUGACGCUGAGGCGCGAAGGCCAGGGGAGCAAACGGG
RNAcentral lists this ribosomal RNA (254 nucleotides) under uncultured bacterium. Its description in RNAcentral is "partial 16S ribosomal RNA". It matches the Rfam family "Bacterial small subunit ribosomal RNA", at positions 524 to 776 of the family's 1533-position model. The record is from RNAcentral.